CCUUAAAAAAAAAACCUUCUGACACUGCAGUAGUGAAAAUGAAGUGCACGAUGGGCGGAAGCUAGGAAGACACUUAAAGAUGAAGUGCUUAAUUCAAGGUCACAGAAUGUCGGGGAUGGACCUCCAGAUUUCCUUACUGGUGAGACGUGGUCUUGUAACACAGUGGUUAAGAAUGUGACUUUGGAGCCAGCCUGCUAGGGGCUGAAUUCUGACUCAGCCAUUUAUUAACUGUGUGACCUUAGGUCAUAGAAUUUUCCACACUCCUUGACGGAGGUUCUUAACCCUUAUCCAUCAGCAUUCUCAGACAGCACCUCCGGUUAGGGACAGUAUCUGACCGUCCGACAUCCCUGCAGCCCCCAUGCUGUCACACAGACUCAGCCUCAGGUAGAUGGUUUCCGUAGAUGGUGGCUUUCUUUGGACCCUUGAUAUCAACCAGUUACUAUUUGCCAGAGACAGACUCCCAGACUUGGCCAGAGGCUGAUGCCGACCCCUUCCAGCUCU
RNAcentral lists this non-coding RNA (501 nucleotides) under Pongo abelii (Sumatran orangutan). Lineage: Eukaryota; Metazoa; Chordata; Mammalia; Primates; Hominidae. The record is from RNAcentral.